GUUUAGUUCCAGGUGGAUCUGGUCCAGGUGAUGUGACCUAUGCUGACAUCAACCACACAGAGAAGAGACAACACAACAGGAGGAGAGAGAAGGUCGUUCCAGACCCUGUCUACUCAGCAGUGAAGACAGACAGAGAUACAGGUCAAAAGGUCGUUCCAGACCCUGUCUACUCAGCGGUGAAGACAGACAGAGAUACAGGUCAGAAGGUCGUUCCAGACCCUGUCUACUCAGCGGUGAAGACAGAUAGACAGAGAUACAGGUAGAGCUGUAUCUGGAUCCUGGGACUGAACGUACAGACUGAGGUAGGUCCAGAUCACUGUAUCACUAACCCUAAUGUACAGACUGAGGUAGGUCCAGAUCACUGUAUCACUAACCCUAAUGUACAGACUGAGGUAGGUCCAGAUCACUGUAUCACUAACCCUAAUGUACAGACUGAGGUAGGUCCAGAUCACUGUAUCACUAACCCUAAUGUACAGGCUGAGGUAGGUCCAGAUCACUGUAUCACUAACCCUAAUGUACAGACUGAGGUAGGUCCAGAUCACUGUAUCACAAACCCUAACCCUAAUGUAAAGACUGAGGUAGGUCCAGAUCACUGUAUCACUAACCCUAAUAUAAAGACUGAGGUAGGUCCAGAUCACUGUAUCACUAACCCUAAUGUACAGACUGAGGUAGGUCCAGAUCACUGUAUCACUAACCCUAAUGUACAGACUGAGCUAACUAACUUCAACUCUAAUUUCAACACUAACCCUAACUUCAACCUUAACUACAAAAUUAAGUGUUUAUUAUCAAUGAUGUAGCAUGUUGUGUUUGUUAUGAAAUGUAGCAUGUGG
Oncorhynchus tshawytscha (Chinook salmon) is the source of this 830-nucleotide long non-coding RNA. RefSeq lists it as uncharacterized. The record is from RefSeq and is a predicted model, not a curated record. The transcript has 3 exons. Lineage: Eukaryota; Metazoa; Chordata; Actinopteri; Salmoniformes; Salmonidae.